Salmo salar (Atlantic salmon) is the source of this 1867-nucleotide RNA transcript. It is a transcript of the gene named major histocompatibility complex class I-related protein 1-like, with no coding region annotated. Lineage: Eukaryota; Metazoa; Chordata; Actinopteri; Salmoniformes; Salmonidae. The record is from RefSeq and is a predicted model, not a curated record.
GUGAAUUUGGUAUGGUCUCCCAAAAAGCCACAUAGCCAACUGCGUAGCAUAUUGUUUUUCAUAGCUAAAAGAAGGGGGAAGUCUGUCAGACACACUUUAGAGCUUAGAAACUUGCUACACGAGGAAACAUUUUCUAAAUCAUGGGCAAACUGUCUGUAUUUUUGUUUGUUCUUUCCUUUUACACCAUUGUCAACUCAGGUUCAGGAUCACAUUCUCUGUGGGCACUUGCAACAUAUAUAAGCGGAGAGACACCUUUCCCUGAGUUUACGGUUGUGGUGAUGUUGGAUGAUGUUCAAGUGGCUUACUAUGACUCCAACAUGAAACACUUCAUCUACAGGGGUCAUAACACCCCUAACAAAAUACAUGAUGACGAAGCUAAGAACGGAGAUUUUGUAUUUGGAGUUAUGUACCACCACAUGAAGGAGAGAUACUUUCACCUAAAGCACCACUUGAAUCUCACAGAAGGUGUUCAAGUUCAGCAAAGAAUGGCUGGCUGUGAGAUGUUUGACAAUGGUGAACCAGCCCUGAUCAUGACAAAGAACACUUUCAAUGCAGUUUUUGCAGAUCAUGCAAUAUAUUACAACAUUACACAUUUUACAUAUGAUGCUGGUAAACUACUUCAAGGAUGGGAUGGGAUGAGGCAAGCACAAGAAAAAAUUCUUUAUGAGAAUGUUUUACUUACCCUUUGCAUCAGAACACUGAAGACAAUCCUGAAAAGAGAGAAGAACAUUGUGAUGCGUAAAGUUCCUCCCAGACUCAGGUUGAUAAAGAAAGAGGUUUCUGGAGGGUUUCAGGUGAGCUGCCUGGUGUUUGGUUUCUACCCCCGCCACAUCAACCUGACCCUGCUGAGAGACGGCCAGCCAGUGGCGGAACAGGAGCUGACAGGGGGGGAGGUGCUGCCUAGUGGAGAUGGGACCUACCAGCUGAGGAAGAGUCUGGAGGUCAGUACUGAGGAGCUAAAGAAGAGACACAACUACACCUGUCCACCCUCUCAGUUCUACUGGUGAUGCUGCUGAUUCUUAUUCUAUUGGUCACAUUCAUUUGUGUCAAAAGGAGGUGGAGUAACACUGCCUCCCAGUCUGAACUUGCCAACGUUGAUGCAAAAGUCUCAGAGGAAAUGAACCUGUCUUCAGAUUCUGAGAACUAAUAUAUUCUUGGGACACUGAUGCAGCUUUGUCAAUUCAGCUCAGUUCACAAUGAAAAUAUGACUGUCAGAGCACCCAUCAGAGCAGACAUAAAAUGUACGAAUGAUUCUGAUAUUGCUAGUCAAUCUUCCCCUCAACAACAGACUGUAAAGUAUCAGUAUGGGGAGACUGUUGACAAUAACAAAUAUCUGGGCAUUAGUCUAGAUCUGCAUUUAUAUAUUUGAUAUGCUGGUUUGGCAUCCUGAGCAUUAACAAAGGUAAUCUGUUAGUUAUUUUGUGAUGUAAUCUGUCAUUUCUAAUCAUGACUAUUCAUGACUAUUCAUUAACUGUACAAUUCUAUCUGUGGUGUAUUAGCUGAUAUCCAGUAUCUUAACCAGAAGGAGAAUCUAGUGAUCAUGUGUAUGAGGUCUAUUUAUUAUUGGAAAGACUUUACAGUGUCUGUGUUGUAUUGUAUGUAGUGUAUAUUACCCCCAGGCUGUACAAUAAUACCUUUAUUACAGACAAUGAAAUGUAGCCUAAUCGAUUAAUGCAUUGAUUCAUGUUAACUACGACAUUAAUUUAAACAAUGUCAGGUAUACCGUAACUUCUCUCAAGAACUUGUUUAUCAUGGUGGAAGGGAGAGAUAUCUGACCCUAUUUCUCUCCAGUUUAAGACUGGCAUGAGGAAUAAACUAAGGUAAAUGUUGUAUGCAUUAUAAACAAUUAAAAAGUUUUUUGAUAGAA